AUGGCUGAAGCUACUACUCUUCGCUUUGGUCUGAAUCUUGCCCAAUCAUUCGAGUCAUUCGGAUGCUCUAGGUUAAUCAUCAAUUCUGAUAAUUCUGAUGUGAUUGUUGCAAUGCAAGAUGGUGGUACUUUCUCGGGAUUGACUGCUGCUAUUUUCGACGAUUGUUAUCAUAUGGUUCACGAUCUAUCACAAAUCCACUACGAACACUGUCAUAGAGAAGGAAAUUCUGUAGCACAUGAACUGGCAAGGAUUGCUAGAUUUUCUCCACCUGGUACUUGGUUUAAUGAGGCACCUAAUGCCAUUUCCCCUAUGCUUGUAAAUUAUGCUACUUUGAUUACCACUUAA
Molecule: ribosomal RNA, 345 nt
Filed under: Triticum aestivum (bread wheat)
Lineage: Eukaryota; Viridiplantae; Streptophyta; Magnoliopsida; Poales; Poaceae
Description: partial small subunit ribosomal RNA
Source: RNAcentral